ACACGCGCACCUGCGUGAUGACGUCAGGAAGCCAAACGACGCAAAAAAAAAAUGACCGCGAAACUUCGACGAGCGAUUCCUCACAAACUAGAUAGUUUCUAGUCAAAGUGCGACCGAAAAGUGUGCGUGUUUCGCCAAAGUGAAUCCCAACAACGUGAGACGUAAAUGCCUCGAUGGAGCUGGACCGGUGGAUCCGGAGCCUUCAGGUUUCCUCCUGCAGAAUACAGCGACUGGGACCAUUCUGCGCCCCUCCUGCUGGAAGGAAACAAACAACAGAUGGUGCACAAAGAUUUCUCCGCGGAAGUCGAGGCCCGCGGUACGCAGGGCCGUUACUCUACUGAAGAAUCUCCUCCCGUCGCCGUUUUUGCUUCUUUAUGAACGGAGCGCGAACGAGGACAUCGGAUGUCCUUUUGUCUCUGAGCCUCCUCCCGAUCAGCUCUGCUCUCCGUGUCUCUCACCACGAGACGGACAACACUACGCAAACGUUCAGCAGCUCCAGCUCUCGGCGCCAUUCACAGGAUGUGGGAGGUUUCCGAUGUUGGAGGACGGACCGGGUGGUGCCGCCGGAGAUGCUAAAAACGCCGGGUGACCGGAGUCAGUGUUUUCUCCUCUGCGUGUGUUUGUGUUUUUUUUUUUUUUUUUAAAACAAGCGCUACAAGUGAGGAGAACCGAGGCGGGAGAGCAGAGAAGUGUGACAAAUAGCAGCAGAUCAUGCAGAAAAUGUGCGAUGCUAAACAUCAGUUACUGCACAUGGGAGAAACUGUGUGUUUGUGCAGUGUUUGCUGUCCAAGGAGGAGGUUUAGAAUAAAUAAAUAAAUAAAUAAGAAGGGUCGCGCUCACAGCUGGGGACUCUGAAUUGAAUACAUGGCGUCUUUUUCACCGUUCGGAGGAAAUAAAUCUGUCGAGGAGAGCAGAAAAUCUUGCCGGGGUUUUGAGUUUCUUUUGAUGUGUCGUGAUGACGAUUAUGAAAUCCAAUAAAAACUCAUUUAGAAAUUAGGAGGCAGAUCAAUAAGCUUUGCUCUGGUGGAGCGUGUGUGUGCGUGUGUGUGUCGGUCAGCUACUGCCGAGGGAGUGUGUUGCAGCUCUGACCCGGCCAAAGCAAUUGUUACUGAUACUCCUCUGUGGAUUCGGCCUGUUCAACCCUCACAUGGCUGUAAUUUAUAUUUUGUUGACUGCCGGUUUUCAAAGCGUAAUCUGAUUCGAUGGCUUCUCGUUUUUGCUAAUUCCGACUUCUAAUGUUACACCUAAUGUACCCUGAAACCUCUUUAUUGCCCUUUAUUGCUUUGCUGACUUCAUUUAUUUAUUUAGCGUUUGACCACCACGAGAACAAGUGACGUAGCGGAGCCGCGCUGACAGGCGGUGUAAUGGCGGCCUGGCUGAGCUCUCCGCCUCGCCCUUUCCCUGAAACACGAACCGCCGUUUUUCGGCUUCCGUGUUCCGUCUUGGAUUUGACACUUUCAGCGCUGCUUUGAGAUCCAUGAAAUGAAUGUUUGCUUACGAUGGCGCUCCAGGUUUCCUAAUCAUUUGAUUGGUGGACUUCAUCAAAGUAAAAGAAGGACAUUUAGGAUUUCUGAUGGUUUACACUCUGAGGCCUCAUGGACCAGGUGUUUUAACGAACAACAUUGGACACGGUAGAUCCCCUGGAACGGCGUGAUGGGGAUCUAAGUUGUUUUGCUCUUUUCUUUCCUUCAUGCCGACGCAACCCGGGCUCCUGUGGCUCCGAUCGCCGAUACGAUCCGUCCCGAGAGAUUUGGGUUCAAGCCACGGGUC
Molecule: non-coding RNA, 1770 nt
Organism: Gasterosteus aculeatus aculeatus (three-spined stickleback)
Lineage: Eukaryota; Metazoa; Chordata; Actinopteri; Perciformes; Gasterosteidae
Source: RefSeq, a predicted model, not a curated record